Molecule: non-coding RNA, 2429 nt
Organism: Petromyzon marinus (sea lamprey)
Lineage: Eukaryota; Metazoa; Chordata; Hyperoartia; Petromyzontiformes; Petromyzontidae
Source: RefSeq, a predicted model, not a curated record
GGCAAGGGGGGGGGGGGGGGCGACCAAGCUGUUGAAGAAGAGUUCUGUCUUGAAUGCCUCGAGUUCCCCUUUUAAUGCCCCCUGACUUCAAAAAUCCAGGGUUACGUUAUUCCGCGCGGCCAAUCGUGCGCCUACCUGUGAUUUUCGCUCGUUUUCUUUCCCUUAUAAGGAGUGUUGCGACGGUUAUUUCUGCUACCUAUUGUAUAUGCACCCGUACUCAUUAAUUUCUGACUCAACCUGUUUAAUCUGGAAGGACGUCCGGCUGGCGAAUACACACCCUGCUAGUGUGUAUUUGGUCUGGGGCCGGGGGAGGUCAUGGCGCUGGGAUCCCCUGACCUCAUUGUCUGCUCUGCUCGCUUAAUUGCCGCUGGCCCAGUGAACCUUUGUGCGUCCAUACAAUUUUAAGCCAAUUUAUGGGCACCGCAAUGUAACCUGUCCUGUGCGCUGCGUGCGUGUGUGUGUGCUCAGGGUGGGGGCCAGGGGGAGUCGCGGCGCUUGUGGAGUUGCUCCGCGGCCGUGGCACCACGUAACUAAUUUGCAUGUCUUCUUUAUGUAAGAAACCUUACUAAUUGGCUGUGUCGGGUGAUGGCGGAUUUAACGACACGUUCAUAUUUACGCGAUCUAACCCAAACAAAUGUAUAUUAUGGAAUCAUCGUAAUAAACGGAAUCAUUGCUGAACGCUGCUACAUCUGGCUGUGAGAGUCGCUCCGCUCGCUCAGACUUCGCCGGACGGAGUUGGAGACGCUGCUGCUUGACCUGGAGCGUGUUACUAAGAGUUGCAGUACAAGACGGUGCAUGUACUCGACUCGUUCAGGCAGCCGCCCAAGGAAGUGGACUCGUCCUUCCUCAUCUAUCCGAUGAUACUGCCAUGGCUGCCGGCCAAGGCUGGAAACAGAUGAAGGCGUCCGCGUGUCUCUGAACGUGCAGAUGGUGAAGCAGCUGAAGCGCCGUUGCAGCGGGGGUGUGGUUGAGGAGGGAAUCCCCACGGAGAGCCUCCUGCACCUUGCCGGAUCUCACCCACGUGGUGUACGAGUCCCUGCAACCAGCAGCUGCAGCAGGACUUGUUCCAGCACCACCCCGCUGUGUGAAUGCCCGACGCAAUGCAGUACGCCUCGGACGCUCAGGGUUGCUCACAGCCACUGAUAAGUGUGCCAUGAUUCUCUUUCCCCUACCUGGCUGAAACUACAGAUCUGAUCAGUACAGCCUUUUCCUACUUUGCCACACAUUGCACAGGUCUUCACUUCAGAUCCAUAUGCUUGUUUAUUAUAUUCAACAAAACUAUAGUAAACUAGUAUGUAUGGCGAAUACAAAUUGCGUGACAAAUGGGUAAGAAACAUGGACGCGAAUGAACGAAGUGGAACAAAAACUAAAAAUUGGGCAGAGGCAUGGAGAGAUGCCCACUUGGAAUUGGAUUAAGAACCAUAAGAGGAACACAUAGAGCACAAUGAAAAUGUACUCUAAGGAUAUUAUGCAAACCGUUAAGAACAAGUAGUGGGCUUGGGCAAGACACAUCAUGGAUACAAAGGGAUGAUGGCCAAUGGUCAAUAAUAUGAUGGAGUGGUAGCCAAGGCUUGGAACAUGUCCCAGAGUCCGUCCACUGAGAGGGAGCAAUCCGCUCAUCGAAAGCCAGAGAUGGGCAAUAUCUAAAUUACACGUACCAUAAAUAUGCAAUUUCAUUAUAUUUAUAAUUGGUAUCGAAAUUAAACCUCAAAUUGGUGAUUUUAAUACAAGUGAAAAGAGGCAGUGUUAAUUGGUAAUUUGUUAUUAUCUUACAUCACUUGCGGUAAUUUCUAAUUUGAAUGGCUGUUGCCUACAUGACAGUGAGUAAAUCUGGAUGGCCUCAUAAUGCCCUUAUCAGAGCAUAGAGCCAGCAUGCUUUGGCCCAGUCACAAUUGAAAAACGGCUUCUUAACUCAAUGCACCUGACCCAAAAUAAACUGAUUCAGCAGUGUGACCUGAGUUUAGGGUAAGCCCCGCAUAAUUAAAACAGGAUUCUCAAGAUUAUUUUUUUAAACAGGUAAGAAAUCAAGAGACUAGGCAAGUCUCAUUUGCAACAGUGACCUUAAUUAGACACGUAUAUGCGUACAAAGAGGAACGCGCAUGCACAGACACUCAUUUAUAUACGUGAGAGAUGCACACACAAUGUAUAUAACAUUGUUUAGCUUUAUACAGCAUCGACGCUCAUGCGAAUUGCAUCUCACCGUCGCUGAGGAACCACAGACAAUCGUAAAAUCAUCAGGAGGGCAGUGAGCCAGCGCAAUCAAUUGCCCAAGCUCUGCGGUCCUCGAUAUAUUAAGAUGUUUUAAGACAAUGAAUGAGUGUUAAUACAUAGAUAUGCACGUGAGUGCAGUGUGUGAGCGUGGCUGCAAUAUGUCGAGGGCAGUGGGUGAGAUGAGCUUUGAUGAGUAAAUUGAAUAACGUUUUGCCAUG